UAUAUGAUGGUUUUGGUCCCCAAGCUCAACAACUCGAAAUACAAAAUACACCAUCUAGUUAGAGUGUUGAGAGCUUGGAAGUGUCAUUACCUGGAACAAAGGAGAGCUUCUGGAGUGACAUCAAUGGCUGGAGGUAUGGAUUUGAUCCCUGUGAUCUUCCGAAUUUUCGAUCCAACUAGUUUCCACAUAUUUGUUCUGGAUCGAUUUUUCUAACAAAUUCUACUUAAUCUAACACCUAAAUUCCAAAAUGCUACUCCAAAGUUCUAUUAAUUUACAUUUAUUCCCCUUCUAGUUUCAUCAACUUAACUUAUAUGACGUAUCGACCAAGAUACUUAAUAUUUGAUGUCUCAUUAGUUCAUUUAUAACUUGUAGCAAAAGGAUAAGGAUUCGUGGGGGUGCCUUGAUGCAAGUCUACUGCUUCCCUAUUGGAAAUCACAUCCAUACUAAGUAGUCAUGAAUAACCUCGACAGUAUUGUAUAUCGCAUUUAAACUUCAUUAUUCUAUAGCACACACCACAAUCAAUAGGCUCUCUACUAGUAAUCUAGAAAUAGAAAGAAAUUAUGUGCAAAAUAUCCAGAAUGUUUAAUGACAAAAAAUGUACAUACAUGUUGCUUUCUUCCUUCAAGAUUGUAUCAGGUAUAUUCCCGCUCAGCAUGUUGCCAGUAACGAACCUGUUUACAAAAAUAUCAUAGUAAGUAAGCAAGUAGUGGGUAAGGUAGUGUCCUGUUUUAUCUCACAUUUACUGUAAAACUGCAAACACUGACUGUCAAAACCAACCAAAUGAAGCAAAAGAAUUUAAGUUGGACUCACACAGUUUUCAAAUUUCUUGCAUUGGCUCUUGAAAUCUCCCCCUCUAACUUAUUGAAACUGACAUCGCUGUUCAUAAAUAAGAGAGGAGACAUUCUAUAAACA
RNAcentral lists this long non-coding RNA (912 nucleotides) under Olea europaea (common olive). Its description in RNAcentral is "long non-coding RNA (OEUR_LNC014564)". The record is from RNAcentral. Lineage: Eukaryota; Viridiplantae; Streptophyta; Magnoliopsida; Lamiales; Oleaceae.